RNAcentral lists this long non-coding RNA (877 nucleotides) under Anas platyrhynchos platyrhynchos (common mallard). RNAcentral's name for it is "lncRNA (ENSAPLG00000027192.1)". Lineage: Eukaryota; Metazoa; Chordata; Aves; Anseriformes; Anatidae. The record is from RNAcentral.
GCAUUGCUCUCCUGCGCACACUGCCAGUGUACAGCCAGGGAAGCAGCUGCUGCAGCAGCUCAGAGCAGAAGGCCACGGUUGUUCACUCAUCCAAUGCAGCUGCAAAGGAGCCUCCAUUUUUUCGGGGAACUCCAGGCCUCUGGGUGGCUGCCACAGCUUGCACCACGGCUUCUCCUUGGGCCAGACCUCAGAAAAGAGACACUGGUCCUCGCAGAGAGCUGUCGCCUGCUGGAAAAGCAAGACCAGGUUGUUGAGCAAAAGCUAUAGCAGCAAAUCCUCGUCUUGUGUGCUUGCAAGAUGCUGGCAAUGCAUCAGGAAAUAGGCUGCCUGUGCCGCCAGCAAGACAAAAGAACUCUGCAGGAACUGAUGGUUGAGGAGCAGCUGAAGAAAGAGUGGGAGGCAAAGUACAUGUGGGCCCCGUGCAAGGCUCAUGGCAAAAGGGAUGGAAGAGAGAGGGCCUGGCAGAAGAUGCAGGCGGAAAUGCAGAGGCUGCAGAGGGGGUGUGCUUCCUCCAUGGCACUCAUGGACCUGAAGAACGCUCUGCAGCUGGUACCAGUGGAGAUGAAGCAUCAGCAUGUCCUCAUCCCUCUCCCUCCAGCGAAGAAGGCUGAGGCAGCUCCCCUCAGCAAAUCAAGUGCCAGCUACCAAUUAGUAUGGAGUGUGCAGGCGGGGAAAGUGAUGGAGAAGAGAAAGGAGGCCUGGAAAAUCACUGGGCUGCGGCGCACUGCCUCUGUCUUGCUUCCGCGAUUGCGCUCUACACACAUUUCUAAUUUCAUUUCAUUAAGAUGUAAUAUUUAUCUUUAUUUCAAUAAUUUUUAUCUUUAUUUCAUUAAGAUUUAAUAAACAAAUAAACGGCUGUUCUACAGUUUUCUUUCCA